GACGAACGCUGGCGGCGUGCUUAACACAUGCAAGUCGAACGGAAAGGCCUCUUUCGGGGGGUACUCGAGUGGCGAACGGGUGAGUAACACGUGAGUAACCUGCCCUUGACUUUGGGAUAACUUCAGGAAACUGGGGCUAAUACCGGAUAGGAGCUCCUGCUGCAUGGUGGGGGUUGGAAAGUUUCGGCGGUUGGGGAUGGACACGCGGCUUAUCAGCUUGUUGGUGGGGUAGUGGCUUACCAAGGCUUUGACGGGUAGCCGGCCUGAGAGGGUGACCGGCCCCAUUGGGACUGAGAUACGGCCCAGACUCCUACGGGAGGCAGCAGUGGGGAAUAUUGCACAAUGGGUGGGAGCCUGAUGCAGCAACGCCGUGUGCGGGAUGACGGCCUUCGGGUUGUAAACCGCUUUCGCUCAUGACGAAGCUUUGUGUGACGGUAGUGGGUAAAGAAGCACCGGCUAACUACGUG
RNAcentral lists this ribosomal RNA (467 nucleotides) under uncultured bacterium. RNAcentral's name for it is "partial 16S ribosomal RNA". It matches the Rfam family "Bacterial small subunit ribosomal RNA", at positions 28 to 507 of the family's 1533-position model. The record is from RNAcentral.